RNAcentral lists this ribosomal RNA (460 nucleotides) under uncultured bacterium. Its description in RNAcentral is "partial 16S ribosomal RNA". It matches the Rfam family "Bacterial small subunit ribosomal RNA", at positions 338 to 795 of the family's 1533-position model. The record is from RNAcentral.
CCUACGGGAGGCAGCAGUGAGGAAUAUUGGUCAAUGGACGCAAGUCUGAACCAGCCAUGCCGCGUGCAGGAAGACGGCUCUAUGAGUUGUAAACUGCUUUUGUACGAGGGUAAACGCAGAUACGCGUAUCUGUCUGAAAGUAUCGUACGAAUAAGGAUCGGCUAACUCCGUGCCAGCAGCCGCGGUAAUACGGAGGAUUCAAGCGUUAUCCGGAUUUAUUGGGUUUAAAGGGUGCGUAGGCGGUCGGUUAAGUUAGUGGUGAAAUCUCGAGGCUCAACUGCGGAAUUGACACUGAUACUGGUCGUCUAGAGAGUAGUUGCGGUAGGCGGAAUGUAUGGUGUAGCGGUGAAAUGCUUAGAGAUCAUACAGAACACCGAUUGCGAAGGCAGCUUACCAAGCUACUUCUGACAUUGAGGCACGAAAGCGUGGGGAGCAAACAGGAUUAGAUACCCGAGUAGUC